Long non-coding RNA from Thunnus maccoyii (southern bluefin tuna), 427 nucleotides. RefSeq lists it as uncharacterized. Lineage: Eukaryota; Metazoa; Chordata; Actinopteri; Scombriformes; Scombridae. The transcript is spliced from 3 exons. The record is from RefSeq and is a predicted model, not a curated record.
UCCCAACUGAUAACAGCGGCCGGAGCCAACAACGACGUGUUUUCACAAACAAUAGUGAUAAACUACAGUAGUCCCUCCCUACUGGUUCAGGGAAGAUGCAGGUGCCCAGUAGAUGUUCAGUAGAGUCUUCACACCAAGUGACACCCGCUUACAUCGGAGUUUUGAUUUUAAAGGCUCCUUUUUACAAUUAUUAACCCAGGAUCAGACACGUUCACGCGAUUUAUAACAUGACAGAGCCACGUUUCAAAGGAUUGUGGGCCAAGGAGGAUACUGCGGGGAGACAGCCAGUGCUGAAUAUGCAUGGCCUUGUCUGAGGAGUCUCAGACUAUGUAUCUGUAAAGCCAAAUGUCCUUUGUAUCCUUUGUAAAGUCGACGGUCCUAUCUUUUGUGUAUAAAACUGUCUCUCAGCUCUGGUGAGACAGACAUG